GACGAACGCUGGCGGCGUGCUUAACACAUGCAAGUCGAACGGAAAGGCCCUGCUUUUGUGGGGUGCUCGAGUGGCGAACGGGUGAGUAUCACGUGAGUAACCUGCCCUUGACUUUGGGAUAACUUCAGGAAACUGGGGCUAAUACCGGAUAGGAGCUCCUGCUGCAUGGUGGGGGUUGGAAAGUUUCGGCGGUUGGGGAUGGACUCGCGGCUUAUCAGCUUGUUGGUGGAGUAGUGGCUUACCAAGGCUUUGACGGGUAGACGGCCUGAGAGGGUGACCGGCCACAUUGGGACUGAGGUACGGCCCAGACUCCUACGGGAGGCAGAAGUGGGGAAUAGUGCACAAUGGGCGGAAGCCUGAUGCAGCAACGCCGCGUGCGGGAUGACGGCCGUCGGGUUGUAAACCGCUUUCGCCUGUGACGAAGCGUGAGUGACGGUAAUGGGUAAAGAAGCACCGGCUAACUACGUG
Molecule: ribosomal RNA, 468 nt
Filed under: uncultured bacterium
Lineage: Bacteria
Description: partial 16S ribosomal RNA
Rfam family: Bacterial small subunit ribosomal RNA
Source: RNAcentral